CGAGCACGCGCGUGUGGCAUAUCAAUAAGCGGAGGAAAAGAAACUAACUAGGAUUCCCUCAGUAACGGCGAGUGAAGCGGGAAGAGCUCAAAUUUGAAAUCUUAAAGGUUUUCCCUUGACGAAUUGUAGUUUAUAGAAGUGUUUUCUGUUAGUGGAGUGGCAAAAGUUCUUUGGAAUAGGACAUCAUAGAGGGUGAGAAUCCCGUAUUUGGUCAUUCCUCCUAGCGUUGUGAUACACUUUCAACGAGUCGGAUUGUUCGGGAAUGCAGUCCAAAAUGGGUGGUAAAUUUCAUCUAAAGCUAAAUAUUGGCGAGAGACCGACAGCGAACAAGUACCGUGAGGGAAAGAUGAAAAGAACUUUGAAAAGAGAGUUAAACAGUACGUGAAAUUGUCAAAAGGGAAGCGUUUGACACCAGUGUUGUUUUUCCGAAAAUCAAUUACGAAUGUUUUGUUUUUGAGGAGUUAUGACUUCAUCGGCUUGCUCCUUUCUUUAUGAAACUUUCUUAAUGCACUUUUCGGUUAACAAGUCAACAUCAAUUUCUUUUGUUGUAAAAGGGUAUGAGGAAGGUGGCUUUCUUUUCGGAGAAAGUGUUUAUAGCCUUGUGCCUCUGCAAUCGGAGAGAUUGAGGUCUGCAGCGUAGAUCCUUCGGGGUUAGAUACGUUUGUGCUAAGUUAUAGCUUUUCAUAGACAACUUGUUGACUAUGUUUAGUCUUGUAGCUUACUCGCUGACGCUAUUUUACCUACGCUUAGGAUGUUGAGCGCAUGUCUCUCUCU
This 774-nucleotide ribosomal RNA is filed under the name uncultured Neocallimastigales. Its description in RNAcentral is "partial large subunit ribosomal RNA". It matches the Rfam family "Eukaryotic large subunit ribosomal RNA", at positions 19 to 637 of the family's 3401-position model. The record is from RNAcentral. Lineage: Eukaryota; Fungi; Neocallimastigomycota; Neocallimastigomycetes; Neocallimastigales.